This 315-nucleotide ribosomal RNA is filed under the name Triticum aestivum (bread wheat). Its description in RNAcentral is "partial small subunit ribosomal RNA". Lineage: Eukaryota; Viridiplantae; Streptophyta; Magnoliopsida; Poales; Poaceae. The record is from RNAcentral.
AUGUACCGGUUAGUAUGCAGCAUGCAUGCAAAUCUAACAAUAGAUUCUGCAGAUGAUCCCGGGGUUAAUCCGGAGGUAGUGCAAGGGGAUGAGCAACAUGCUCAACGACAGUUAAAGGCUGGCGAGCGCGUGCUUAAGCAGGUUAGGCAGGAGAAAAACAAUCUCCAAGAUGCCAAUAUCCGGCUGAGUGUUGAACUGAAAGAUGUUCGGGCCCAACUUGCUGACUCCGUAAAGGAAAAUAAGAGGCUUCGACGCGACAUUUUUAGUAAGUGCUUGAACGAACUUUUUAUUGAGUUCGGCAAAGAAACCGGCUAA